GGGCCUGUAGUGUAGCUUGGUAUCACAGGCGGUUCGGGGCCGCCUAACCGGGGUUCAAAUCCUCGCAGGCCCA
This 73-nucleotide transfer RNA is filed under the name Candidatus Woesearchaeota archaeon. RNAcentral describes it as "tRNA-Pro". It matches the Rfam family "tRNA". From Rfam's summary of the family: Transfer RNA (tRNA) molecules are approximately 80 nucleotides in length. The record is from RNAcentral. Lineage: Archaea; Nanobdellati; Candidatus Woesearchaeota.